This 980-nucleotide unclassified non-coding RNA is filed under the name Hevea brasiliensis (rubber tree). Lineage: Eukaryota; Viridiplantae; Streptophyta; Magnoliopsida; Malpighiales; Euphorbiaceae. The record is from RNAcentral.
UUUUUUUUUUUUAAAACAAGAAACAUUUUUUUUGAGACACCAUGUGGCCUCAUAAUCUUUUCAGAGAAAAUAAAUCUUCACUUGCCACUUGCAAUAUAUUUGCAGUUUAGGGCACUGGGUAAAAAAAAUACAAAAAGGGGCUUAAAUGCCAACUUGCAGCCUGCCCCACUCACCCACAUCAGAUAUACAUGAUUGAAAAUUUGAAACAUGGUACACAAAUGACAAAACCAUGUGACUUGAAGUUGAGUUCAGUUCUUCACUAACAUAAUUGAACUUUUUUGAGCAACCUAACAGGAUUUGAAACACAUCACUAUGGGAAGAGAGACAUAGAGAUCUACACCAACCAAUGCUUCCUAAUCAAAGGAAGAAUUUACAAUUACUAUUAUAAAUAAGAACCCCAAUAAGAAUUUACCAUCUUUUAUUUAGCUAUCCACUUUCUUUAUUCCAGCAUCAAAUGGAUUUCCUCUUGCUUUGUCAGGUACUCCCACUAGGGUAGACACAACCAUUAUAACUGGGAUUGUUGGAUGUGAGUGUAGCAGUCUGAGAGAAAUCACAAUCCCAUGGAUUCUUGCCAGAAGUUUGGUAGUAGAGGUUCAUGGCAAAAGCAGCAUGUGAAACCAAAGUAUUUGGCUCGAAACAGGCACCUCCUGGUUGAAUCGGGCUGCAAUCUAUGCCUUGACCACAAGCAUAGUCAAGACUUCCCUGCAAUUGUGCAUCAGAAACACCAGCCUUGGGCAUACACCAACCUGCUCCUGUUGGUUUUACUGACGGACUUGCUGGAGUUUGGGGCGUCGAUGGAGUCUGGCUACUACUCUUUGAGAGACCAACAUCAUAUGUCAUGGAAAGGUCAGGUUUGAAAAGGCCAAAUGCUCUUUCGGAGGCAGGCCCAGGCUUCAAAUCCUCAUCAUAGAUUGCAAAGAGGUAUGUAUCUACAGAUUUUCCGGGCAUUAAUGGGGUGCCAACCAAUGAUCUAAGGUGAG